CAGGGGGAGCGGGCAGGAGCAGACGCCUCGGGAGGACUCCUGGCUGUCUUCGGCGGCACUGCGUGCGGUGAUUAUGGACUGAGUGGAGCAGCAGUGCUGAAAAAUGUGCAAGUUUGAGAGGCGUCUCCAGCACAAGAUACCUUCCUGGAAGCUCACCUUGUGAUCAGAAUGGGGCUGCCAUCCAGUGGAGAUACUGUCAGGUGGUGGAAAAUUGAAAAAUCCCAUUUUUUUCUCAUUUGGCUUUAUUGCUUUACUUCUGGAGUCUUACACCCCUGAUUCCAGGGCCAUCCCUGAAGUUUCAAGUAUUUGCAACUCUCUGAAUACUGUAUCAAUAUGAACAGAACUGAAUGUGCUGAUCCUGUGGUCCUCCCUGGAAUUAUCCCGUUGAUUUAAAUGGCACUUUUGAUUAGAAAUGAGUUUGUAUGACCAGUCUAUUGCUUGAACACAUGUGGUACUUGGUGAGAAAUGAAUAUUGGUACUCAAAAAUCAAUCAGAGGUCAGCAAAGGGCUCUCUUUCUGGAGGGAACUGCAAAAUUCUGAGUUGGAGAUGUCAAUGCCUUUGAGGAUCAGUGCCCUGCUUUAAUUGAUAACAGGACUCCUGCAGUCUUAAAGAGAAUGCGAGAGCAGUCCCUGCAACGGAAAAUCCCAGUGACAAUGGCAGUCGCCUGGGAAAUGAGAAUUCCAGGGUAGUGCCUGCUUUCCCAGAUUCAAACUAGGAUCUUAAUUUGAAUCUACUAGAAAAGAGAACCAUGUUGCACAGGUCAUAGUGGUCUGGGGUAGCUGUGCCAGACUGUACUGAAGACAGUUACUAAGACAUCUUGCCCUAUAAAGCUGCACCUGGGCACUAUGCUAGUUGUGGAGGACGUGGCACAUGCCAACGUGAAGGACAACUAUGCUAACAAAUAAUUUGGAUGAUACUAGGGAAAAUUCUUCUAAUCUAGUUUGGAAAUGUCUUUGAACAAUCUGAAGAUUGUUAAAAGCAGAUGUCACAGCUGUCUUGAGUAUAGUGAGAAGGAGGAAAAGGAGCUCUCCUGAGAAGCCUGACGGUUUGCCACAAGUUGGUACUAAGCUGUGAGCCCCAAGUUCCCACAGGCAGUGACAAGUGAAAACCUGGACUGCGUUGCUGAAGAAGCAGGAGACAGUGAGAGGACAAGUGAGAUUACGACAACAGCCCUCUGACCUUUAGAAAGAAACAACUGUCACUUCCGGAAGCAUCCUGCUUUUCUGUCAAGUUUCAAGAAGAACACUGAAUACAGGUACGGUGUCAUUUGAAGACGUACAAAUAAGGAAUAAUGUGGAGUAAUUGAAUAGUGAGCAAAUCCACUUGAAAACAUUUGUUAGCAAGUCAGUCAAUAAAAUGUUGUUCCACACACUUCCGUUUGAAGAGCUUCUGAUUUUGUUACAUGCUGUCUUGCUUAGACUAUGCUACAUAUAAUGGUGCAUGCCUUUAAUCUUUAACAUAAAGAUUCCUUCCCCAUUAAAAUCCCCAUUAAG
Molecule: long non-coding RNA, 1494 nt
Organism: Gymnogyps californianus (California condor)
Lineage: Eukaryota; Metazoa; Chordata; Aves; Accipitriformes; Cathartidae
Exons: 9
Source: RefSeq, a predicted model, not a curated record